Molecule: small nuclear RNA, 89 nt
Filed under: Procavia capensis (Cape rock hyrax)
Lineage: Eukaryota; Metazoa; Chordata; Mammalia; Hyracoidea; Procaviidae
Source: RNAcentral
UUGCUUUGGCAGCACGUAUACUAAAAUUGGAAUGAUACAUGGCCUCUGGCAAGGAUGACAUGCAAAUUAUUGAAGCAUUCCGUAUUUUU